AUCAGUUUAGAUACAUGAGCCGUGGCAGCUUGGGAAUCAGUGUAGUCUGCAACAUGCUCAGUACUGGGGCAGUUGUCUGGCCAAACAGGGUAGAGUGCCGGGAGGGUUCCUGUGUAUGUUAUAUAUAUAUAUAUAUAUAUAUUAAAAGGAGAGAUAAAAUAACUACACAGAAUAAACAUGCGGCACAAGGCAAAUAAUGAGAUGCCCAAUAUAAAUGUUUUUCUCUGUAUUUCCACUUUCAUCCAGGAGGCGCCACCUCUUCCUUUUCUUAUUCCCCAUUCCUAUCCAGGUACUAAGGUGCUUACAGCGACAUUCUGAGGGUUGGAAUUGGAAGCGCAAGAGAACGGACGGCUGCAGUUGGGAGAUUCUCCUUAUAAAGCGUCACUGUGUAUGAGGGAAAUAUGCGGCCAAACGGGGGCCACAAGUGCCAGGGCCCAGGAGCGCAUUUAAAUGAGCUGAAGAGGAGGAUGAACAUCUAGAGAGAACCCUGGGGCAAAACAAAGG
Xenopus tropicalis (tropical clawed frog) is the source of this 504-nucleotide long non-coding RNA. RefSeq lists it as uncharacterized. The transcript has 2 exons. The record is from RefSeq and is a predicted model, not a curated record. NCBI's taxonomy places the organism in Eukaryota, Metazoa, Chordata, Amphibia, Anura, Pipidae.